RNAcentral lists this ribosomal RNA (301 nucleotides) under uncultured bacterium. RNAcentral's name for it is "partial 16S ribosomal RNA". It matches the Rfam family "Bacterial small subunit ribosomal RNA", at positions 509 to 808 of the family's 1533-position model. The record is from RNAcentral.
CAGCAGCCACGGUAAUACGUAGGGUGCAAGCGUUAAUCGGAAUUACUGGGCGUAAAGCGUGCGCAGACGGUUACUUAAGCAGGAUGUGAAAUCCCCGGGCUCAACCUGGGAACUGCGUUCUGAACUGGGUGACUAGAGUGUGUCAGAGGGAGGUAGAAUUCCACGUGUAGCAGUGAAAUGCGUAGAGAUGUGGAGGAAUACCGAUGGCGAAGGCAGCCUCCUGGGAUAACACUGACGUUCAUGCCCGAAAGCGUGGGUAGCAAACAGGAUUAGAUACCCCCCGUAGUCCCUGUCUCUUAUA